Molecule: ribosomal RNA, 1287 nt
Filed under: Coniopteryx sp. YW-2016
Lineage: Eukaryota; Metazoa; Arthropoda; Insecta; Neuroptera; Coniopterygidae
Description: 16S ribosomal RNA
Source: RNAcentral
UAAAAAUUAUUUUAUAUAGAUAGUUUUUUUAUUAUUUAAUAAAAAGAUUUUUUUUAUUUAUAGUAUAAUUUAGAAGUAAUAAAUUUUUAGAUAGCGUAUAGUAUAGUUAUAGAAUAUAUAUAUUUAGUUUUUUAGUAAAAUUUAUUAUUUGUACCUUUUGUAUCAGGGUUUAUUAAUUAAUUUUUAUUUAUAAUAAAGUUCUCGAAUUUAUAAGUGUUAAUUUUAUAUGAUAGUAUUUGUAAAAUAAAAUUUAUUAAUAUUAAAAUAGAAGUUAAAAGUUAUUCGUUUAUAAAUAUAUCUAGUUUUAAAAAAAAUAAAUUUAAUUUAGUUUAUUUAUUUAAAUAAUAUAAUUAUUAAUAUUAUUUAAUUAAUUAAAAUAAAAUUUUUUGGGAUUAGCUAAAAUUUUUAUUUAUAAUGGUUUAAUUUAUAAAAUAAAUGUGGGAUUAGAAAUUUUUAUCAUUAAUAAUAGUGUUAUAAUUUAUAUUUUAAUUAAAAAAAUUUUUUAAGGUUUAAGUAAAUUAUUUUAAUAUAAAUAUUAAUAAUUAGUAUUUAGAAAUAAUGAUAAAAUUAGUAUUUAAAAAUUUAUAUAAUAUAAUUACUUAUAAGAUUAUAAAAAGGAACUCGGCAAAAUUAUAUCCACCUGUUUAUCAAAAACAUGUCUUUUUGAAUUAUAUAUAAAGUCUGACCUGCCCACUGAAUUUUUGAAGGGCCGCAGUAUUUUGACUGUGCUAAGGUAGCAUAAUCAUUUGUUUUUUAAUUGGAAACUGGAAUGAAGGGUUUGAUGAGAUAUAAGCUGUCUCUAUAUAAACAGUAUAAUAAUUUAAAUUUUAAGUCAAAAUGCUUAAAUAUAAAUAAAAGACGAGAAGACCCUAUAGAUCUUUAUAUUUAUAAUUAAUUUAUUAUUUAUAAAAAAAUUAAAAUUAAUGUUAAAUAUUUAAUUGGGGUGAUUUAAAAAUUUAAUAAACUUUUUAAUUAUAUAAACUUUUUAUAAGAAUUUUUGAUCCAAUUUUAUUGAUUAAUAAAUUUAGUUACCUUAGGGAUAACAGCGUAAUUUUUUUAGAGAGUUCAUAUCGAUAAAAAAGAUUGCGACCUCGAUGUUGAAUUAAAGUAUAUCUUAGGAGUAGAAAAUUAAGAUUUUAGUCUGUUCGACUAAUUUACUUUACAUGAUUUGAGUUCAGACCGGCGUAAGCCAGGUUAGUUUCUAUCUUUAUUUUAAUAAAAUAUUUUAGUACGAAAGGACCAGAUAUUUAAAAAAAUUUUUUAUUUUAUGAGUUAUAUUAAUUGGGU